This 601-nucleotide ribosomal RNA is filed under the name Nakaseomyces glabratus. RNAcentral's name for it is "[Candida] glabrata partial large subunit ribosomal RNA". It matches the Rfam family "Eukaryotic large subunit ribosomal RNA", at positions 39 to 645 of the family's 3401-position model. Lineage: Eukaryota; Fungi; Ascomycota; Saccharomycetes; Saccharomycetales; Saccharomycetaceae. The record is from RNAcentral.
CAUAUCAAUAAGCGGAGGAAAAGAAACCAACUGGGAUUGCCUUAGUAACGGCGAGUGAAGCGGCAAAAGCUCAAAUUUGAAAUCUGGUACCUUUGGUGCCCGAGUUGUAAUUUGGAGAGUACCACUUUGGGACUGUACUUUGCCUAUGUUCCUUGGAACAGGACGUCAUGGAGGGUGAGAAUCCCGUGUGGCGAGGGUGUCAGUUCUUUGUAAAGGGUGCUCGAAGAGUCGAGUUGUUUGGGAAUGCAGCUCUAAGUGGGUGGUAAAUUCCAUCUAAAGCUAAAUACAGGCGAGAGACCGAUAGCGAACAAGUACAGUGAUGGAAAGAUGAAAAGAACUUUGAAAAGAGAGUGAAAAAGUACGUGAAAUUGUUGAAAGGGAAGGGCAUUUGAUCAGACAUGGUGUUUUGCGCCCCUUGCCUCUCGUGGGCUUGGGACUCUCGCAGCUCACUGGGCCAGCAUCGGUUUUGGCGGCCGGAAAAAACCUAGGGAAUGUGGCUCUGCGCCUCGGUGUAGAGUGUUAUAGCCCUGGGGAAUACGGCCAGUCGGGACCGAGGACUGCGAUACUUGUUAUCUAGGAUGCUGGCAUAAUGGUUAUAUGC